GCAAGCAAAGAAAAAAGGCGACAGAUUACUCUGUCGCCUUUUUUC
Molecule: small RNA, 45 nt
Filed under: Escherichia coli
Lineage: Bacteria; Pseudomonadati; Pseudomonadota; Gammaproteobacteria; Enterobacterales; Enterobacteriaceae
Source: RNAcentral